This 837-nucleotide ribosomal RNA is filed under the name Bacteroidota bacterium. Its description in RNAcentral is "bacterial SSU rRNA". It matches the Rfam family "Bacterial small subunit ribosomal RNA", at positions 1 to 838 of the family's 1533-position model. Lineage: Bacteria; Pseudomonadati; Bacteroidota. The record is from RNAcentral.
ACAAUGGAGAGUUUGAUCCUGGCUCAGGAUGAACGCUAGCGGCAGGCCUAAUACAUGCAAGUCGAACGGCAUCAGCACUUCGGUGGCUGGCGAGUGGCGCACGGGUGCGUAACGCGUAUGCAACCUACCUCUUACAGGGGGAUAGCUCCCGGAAACGGGGAUUAAUACCGCAUAAUAUCAUGGUACGACAUCGCACUAUGAUCAAAACUGAGGUGGUAAGAGAUGGGCAUGCGUCCCAUUAGCUGGUUGGCAGUGUAACGGACUACCAAGGCAAUGAUGGGUAGGGGGUCUGAGAGGAUGAUCCCCCACACUGGUACUGAGAUACGGACCAGACUCCUACGGGAGGCAGCAGUAGGGAAUAUUGGUCAAUGGGCGAGAGCCUGAACCAGCCAUGCCGCGUGCAGGAAGACGGCCUUCUGGGUUGUAAACUGCUUUUACCAGGGAAGAAAACGUCCAUGCGUGGAUAAUUGACGGUACCUGGUGAAUAAGCACCGGCUAACUCCGUGCCAGCAGCCGCGGUAAUACGGAGGGUGCAAGCGUUGUCCGGAUUUAUUGGGUUUAAAGGGUGCGUAGGCGGUCAUGUAAGUCAGUGGUGAAAGACGGCAGCUCAACUGUCGCAGUGCCAUUGAUACUGUAUGACUUGAGUAUAGUUGAGGUAGGCGGAAUUUAUGGUGUAGCGGUGAAAUGCAUAGAUACCAUAAGGAACCCCGAUAGCGUAGGCAGCUUACUAAACUAUAACUGACGCUGAGGCACGAAAGCAUGGGUAGCGAACAGGAUUAGAUACCCUGGUAGUCCAUGCCGUAAACUAUGAUUACUCGAUGUGUGCGAUACACAGUA